UACAGAGGGUGAGCAAGCGUUGUUCGGAAUUAUUGGGCGUAAAGGGCGCGUAGGCGGCGCGGAAAGUCGUCGGUGAAAGCUCGGGGCUCAACCCUGAGUCUGCCGGUGAUACUCCCGCGCUCGAGCUCGACUAGGAGGCAAGAUGGAAUUCCGGGUGUAGCGGUGGAAAUGCGUAGAGAUCCGGAAGAACACCGGUGGCGAAGGCGGUCUGCUGGGGUGAGGCUGACGCUGAUGCGCGACAGCGUGGGGAGGCAA
RNAcentral lists this ribosomal RNA (255 nucleotides) under uncultured bacterium. RNAcentral describes it as "partial 16S ribosomal RNA". It matches the Rfam family "Bacterial small subunit ribosomal RNA", at positions 522 to 772 of the family's 1533-position model. The record is from RNAcentral.